This 300-nucleotide ribosomal RNA is filed under the name uncultured Flavobacteriaceae bacterium. Its description in RNAcentral is "bacterial SSU rRNA". It matches the Rfam family "Bacterial small subunit ribosomal RNA", at positions 115 to 417 of the family's 1533-position model. Lineage: Bacteria; Pseudomonadati; Bacteroidota; Flavobacteriia; Flavobacteriales; Flavobacteriaceae. The record is from RNAcentral.
GCGUAUAGAAUCUACCUUAUACUAGGGGAUAGCCUUUGGAAACGAAGAUUAAUACCCUAUAGUAAGUAUUUAUGGCAUCAUUUAUACUUUAAAGGUUACGGUAUAAGAUGACUAUGCGUCCUAUUAGUUUGUUGGUGAGGUAACGGCUCACCAAGACUUCGAUAGGUAGGGGCCCUGAGAGGGGGAUCCCCCACACUGGUACUGAGACACGGACCAGACUCCUACGGGAGGCAGCAGUGAGGAAUAUUGGACAAUGGAGGAAACUCUGAUCCAGCCAUGCCGCGUGCAGGAUGACGGCCC